CUACGGGUUGCUCCAGUGGGGAAUAUUGCACAAUGGGGGAAACCCUGAUGCGGCCAUGCCGCGUGUGUGAAGAAGGCCUUCGGGUUGUAAAGCACUUUCAGUCAGGAGGAAGGGGUGAUGGCUAAUAUCCAUCAUCAUUGACGUUACUGACAGAAGAAGCACCGGCUAACUCCGUGCCAGCAGCCGCGGUAAUACGGAGGGUGCAAGCGUUAAUCGGAAUAACUGGGCGUAAAGCGCACGCAGGCGGUUGGAUAAGCGAGAUGUGAAAGCCCCGGGCUCAACCUGGGAACUGCAUUUCGAACUGUCCGACUAGAGUCUUGUAGAGGGGGGUAGAAUUCCAGGUGUAGCGGUGAAAUGCGUAGAGAUCUGGAGGAAUACCGGUGGCGAAGGCGGCCCCCUGGACAAAGACUGACGCUCAGGUGCGAAAGCGUGGGGAGCAAACAGGAUUAGAUACCCCCGUAGUC
This 464-nucleotide ribosomal RNA is filed under the name uncultured bacterium. RNAcentral's name for it is "partial 16S ribosomal RNA". It matches the Rfam family "Bacterial small subunit ribosomal RNA", at positions 339 to 795 of the family's 1533-position model. The record is from RNAcentral.